GACGAACGCUGGCGGCGUGCCUAAUACAUGCAAGUCGAACGAACUCUGGUAUUGAUUGGUGCUUGCAUCAUGAUUUACAUUUGAGUGAGUGGCGAACUGGUGAGUAACACGUGGGAAACCUGCCCAGAAGCGGGGGAUAACACCUGGAAACAGAUGCUAAUACCGCAUAACAACUUGGACCGCAUGGUCCGAGUUUGAAAGAUGGCUUCGGCUAUCACUUUUGGAUGGUCCCGCGGCGUAUUAGCUAGAUGGUGGGGUAACGGCUCACCAUGGCAAUGAUACGUAGCCGACCUGAGAGGGUAAUCGGCCACAUUGGGACUGAGACACGGCCCAAACUCCUACGGGAGGCAGCAGUAGGGAAUCUUCCACAAUGGACGAAAGUCUGAUGGAGCAACGCCGCGUGAGUGAAGAAGGGUUUCGGCUCGUAAAACUCUGUUGUUAAAGAAGAACAUAUCUGAGAGUAACUGUUCAGGUAUUGACGGUAUUUAACCAGAAAGCCACGGCUAACUACGUGCCAGCAGCCGCGGUAAUACGUAGGUGGCAAGCGUUGUCCGGAUUUAUUGGGCGUAAAGCGAGCGCGGGCGGUUUUUUAAGUCUGAUGUGAAAGCCUUCGGCUCAACCGAAGAAGUGCAUCGGAAACUGGGAAACUUGAGUGCAGAAGAGGACAGUGGAACUCCAUGUGUAGCGGUGAAAUGCGUAGAUAUAUGGAAGAACACCAGUGGCGAAGGCGGCUGUCUGGUCUGUAACUGACGCUGAGGCUCGAAAGUAUGGGUAGCAAACAGGAUUAGAUACCCUGGUAGUCCAUACCGUAAACGAUGAAUGCUAAGUGUUGGAGGGUUUCCGCCCUUCAGUGCUGCAGCUAACGCAUUAAGCAUUCCGCCUGGGGAGUACGGCCGCAAGGCUGAAACUCAAAGGAAUUGACGGGGGCCCGCACAAGCGGUGGAGCAUGUGGUUUAAUUCGAAGCUACGCGAAGAACCUUACCAGGUCUUGACAUACUAUGCAAAUCUAAGAGAUUAGACGUUCCCUUCGGGGACAUGGAUACAGGUGGUGCAUGGUUGUCGUCAGCUCGUGUCGUGAGAUGUUGGGUUAAGUCCCGCAACGAGCGCAACCCUUAUUAUCAGUUGCCAGCAUUAAGUUGGGCACUCUGGUGAGACUGCCGGUGACAAACCGGAGGAAGGUGGGGAUGACGUCAAAUCAUCAUGCCCCUUAUGACCUGGGCUACACACGUGCUACAAUGGAUGGUACAACGAGUUGCGAACUCGCGAGAGUAAGCUAAUCUCUUAAAGCCAUUCUCAGUUCGGAUUGUAGGCUGCAACUCGCCUACAUGAAGUCGGAAUCGCUAGUAAUCGCGGAUCAGCAUGCCGCGGUGAAUACGUUCCCGGGCCUUGUACACACCGCCCGUCACACCAUGAGAGUUUGUAACACCCAAAGUCGGUGGGGUAACCUUUUAGGAACCAGCCGCCUAAGGUGGGACAGAUGAUUAGGGUG
RNAcentral lists this ribosomal RNA (1489 nucleotides) under Lactiplantibacillus plantarum. RNAcentral's name for it is "bacterial SSU rRNA". It matches the Rfam family "Bacterial small subunit ribosomal RNA". Lineage: Bacteria; Bacillati; Bacillota; Bacilli; Lactobacillales; Lactobacillaceae. The record is from RNAcentral.